RNAcentral lists this transfer RNA (69 nucleotides) under Calypogeia suecica. Its description in RNAcentral is "tRNA-Cys". It matches the Rfam family "tRNA". Rfam says of the family: Transfer RNA (tRNA) molecules are approximately 80 nucleotides in length. Their secondary structure includes four short double-helical elements and three loops (D, anti-codon, and T loops). Lineage: Eukaryota; Viridiplantae; Streptophyta; Jungermanniopsida; Jungermanniales; Calypogeiaceae. The record is from RNAcentral.
AGCGGCAUGGCCAAGCGGUAAGGCAAGGGACUGCAAAUCCUUCAUCCCCAGUUCAAAUCUGGGUGUCGC